RNAcentral lists this unclassified non-coding RNA (277 nucleotides) under Hevea brasiliensis (rubber tree). The record is from RNAcentral. Lineage: Eukaryota; Viridiplantae; Streptophyta; Magnoliopsida; Malpighiales; Euphorbiaceae.
AAAAAUAAAUAAAUAAAUAUAUAAGGCGAUAAUCAGAAAAUACCAACAAGUGCUCAUCUGCCACAAAGUCCCACUCAUCAACAACACAUAGACCGCUAAAAAUUAAACCAUAUAAACAUCAAAACAAAAAAAGAAAAAUAAAUCGCAGUAUCAAAUAUUUCAGUUUCUGCACUAGAAUCCAAAAAGGGAGAACUUUUCAGCUUCAGACUACUUGAAAAUAUCCUAAAAUUCACAAAUCAGAAUGAAGAAGGGUUCUAAUCAUGCAACCAAAACAAAU